GCCACUUUAGCUCAGUUGGUAGAGCGACGCAUUCGUAAUGCGUAGGUCAACGGUUCAAGUCCGCUAAGUGGCU
This 73-nucleotide transfer RNA is filed under the name Bacteroidales bacterium. RNAcentral's name for it is "tRNA-Thr". It matches the Rfam family "tRNA". From Rfam's summary of the family: Transfer RNA (tRNA) molecules are approximately 80 nucleotides in length. Their secondary structure includes four short double-helical elements and three loops (D, anti-codon, and T loops). Further hydrogen bonds mediate the characteristic L-shaped molecular structure. tRNAs have two regions of fundamental functional importance: the anti-codon, which is responsible for specific mRNA codon recognition, and the 3' end, to which the tRNAs corresponding amino acid is attached (by aminoacyl-tRNA synthetases). tRNAs cope with the degeneracy of the genetic code in two manners: having more than one tRNA (with a specific anti-codon) for a particular amino acid; and 'wobble' base-pairing, i.e. permitting non-standard base-pairing at the 3rd anti-codon position. The record is from RNAcentral. Lineage: Bacteria; Pseudomonadati; Bacteroidota; Bacteroidia; Bacteroidales.